CAGUGCAAUGAUGAAAGGGCA
RNAcentral lists this non-coding RNA (21 nucleotides) under Xenopus tropicalis (tropical clawed frog). The record is from RNAcentral. Lineage: Eukaryota; Metazoa; Chordata; Amphibia; Anura; Pipidae. RNAcentral also lists the same sequence under 3 other names.